RNAcentral lists this ribosomal RNA (672 nucleotides) under Rhaphiomidas tarsalis. Its description in RNAcentral is "partial 16S ribosomal RNA". Lineage: Eukaryota; Metazoa; Arthropoda; Insecta; Diptera; Mydidae. The record is from RNAcentral.
AUGUCAACAUGAGCCAAUCUAGGAUUACAAAAUAGAGCCUCUCCAUUAAUAGAACAAUUAACUUUUUUUCAUGACCAUACAUUAUUAAUUUUAGUAAUAAUUACAAUUAUAGUAGGCUACCUAAUAUUUAUAUUAUUUUUUAAUAGUUAUACUAAUCGAUUCUUAUUACACGGACAAAUUAUUGAAAUAAUCUGAACAAUUCUACCAGCUAUUAUUCUUUUAUUCAUCGCUUUCCCAUCUCUGCGAUUAUUAUACUUAUUAGAUGAAAUUAGUGAACCAGUAAUUACAUUAAAAACCAUUGGUCAUCAAUGAUACUGAAGCUAUGAAUAUUCAGAUUUUAUUGACUUAGAAUUUGAUUCUUAUAUAAUCCCGACUAAUGACCUCGCAACAGAUGGCUUUCGCCUAUUAGAUGUAGAUAACCGAGUAGUCCUUCCAAUAAAUACCCAGGUUCGUGUAUUAGUAACUGCUGCCGACGUAAUUCAUUCUUGAACUGUUCCAUCACUCGGUGUAAAAGUAGACGGAACCCCUGGACGAUUAAAUCAAACUAACUUCAUAAUUAGACGCCCAGGUUUAUUUUUUGGACAAUGCUCAGAAAUUUGUGGAGCUAACCACAGUUUUAUACCAAUUGUAAUUGAAAGUAUUUACACAAGACAUUUUAUUAAAUGAAUUUCU